AGCCCUUGGUUUAAGUGCAUUUUGAAAAGAACCCUAGAGCUCAGGUAGAGCUCAUCAGUGUCCGCUUCCCGGCCCGCAUCCCCAGCCGGAGUGUGCGAGCGCCGUCGCGUCAGCCCUUCUUCCCCAUCGAUCCCCCAAGCUCCUCCACGGGUGCAGUCUGGUUUUCAUUUUUGAUUAAAUAUGGGAAGCAGCCCAGCACCAUUUUUGGAUAUUGG
Long non-coding RNA from Morus notabilis, 215 nucleotides. RefSeq lists it as uncharacterized. The record is from RefSeq and is a predicted model, not a curated record. Lineage: Eukaryota; Viridiplantae; Streptophyta; Magnoliopsida; Rosales; Moraceae. The transcript has 2 exons.